UACGGAGGGUGCGAGCGUUGUUCGGAAUUACUGGGCGUAAAGCGCGUGUAGGCGGGCUAUUAAGUCGGUUGUGAAAGCCCAGAGCUCAACUUUGGAAUUGCAGUCGAAACUAGUAGUCUUGAAUGCCUGAGAGGAUGGCGGAAUUCCUGGUGUAGAAGUGAAAUUCGUAGAUAUCAGGAGGAACACCGGAGGCGAAGGCG
Molecule: ribosomal RNA, 200 nt
Filed under: uncultured bacterium
Lineage: Bacteria
Description: partial 16S ribosomal RNA
Rfam family: Bacterial small subunit ribosomal RNA
Source: RNAcentral